GCUUGCGCCCACGGUGGCCGCAAGGUUGGUGCGCGAGAGGGGGCCAAGAUGGCGGAAUGAAGCGAGGCGCGCCGUGGUGACCCGGCCUGUGGGCCGGGGGGACAGCGUGGGCCCCGGGCGCUCGGGCGCUCCUGCCGGCGCUACGAGGAUGGAUAUUUUCAUUAACUUUAGGGUGCUUUUAUAUUCAUCUCAAAAAGAAAACAGAAUUCUGAACUCAGGAAUUGGCACGUGUUUCUGUUUUGUUUUCCAGAACAAAUAAUCCUUUUAUCAGCUUUUCUUUUCACUACUGCAACAUGAAUAAUUCUCCUUGAUACAUACCUUCAUCCGGUUUGGAAAAAGGGAGGGCAUACUUCUCUUUGCUCAGAUGCAACCAGGACAGUCAUCUGCCGGCUUCUAUAGAGUUUGACAAAGGAGCAACUGACAAACGUUUUCAGCUCUUAUUUGCUUAAUUGGAAAGAAGUUUUACAAAAGGUUAGUGUUUAAUUUGAAGCAGACUGUAGAAAUGAAUUCUGAACUUGGGUUAUACUUUGAAGUGAAAAAGAUGCUAAUGGUUUACAUCUAUACCACAAUUGUGACUCAUCCUGUGGCACAGAUUUACUGGAACAAAGUUUCAAAUCAAAAACUUGGAUGUGAUAGAGAAGCAUGCAAUACAGUAGCAUAUGAUUCAUUUCAAGUGAAGAAAACAUCAGCCUGUACAUUGGAAGUCCACAUUUUGGAAGGAAAGAGGGAUUUUACUCCUGGAGAAGGAGACAGUUAAGUUAUUCCUCAGAAAUAUGAAUAUUUGGUACUUUUUAAUGCUUUCUCAUUCUUUUAAGAAAGGAUCCUGUUGUGUAGAUGUGAAUUCUAUGAAUAUAUGCUUAGGUUUAAUGAAAUGUUGAUUUAAAAAAAAGGUUUUGAAUGUAGUAAUGGAACCUGUUCACCACCCUCAGAUGAGAGGCUGCUGUAUUGCAAGUUACUUCAUUUCUUUUGUGGAGUCUGCUGUAUCACUUGAGAUUUGGUUUUCCAUGCUACUGAAAAUCAAGUGGACUUUGAUUUUUCUAUACAGAAGAUAAGAUGGAUCCUAAUAUAUGACCUGCCUUCAGCUUUGGGAUUAGUGGGAGAACAGGAUGGAGAUGAGAAGGCUUUGUAUAACUCCUAAGAAAAAGAAGAAAAAUGCUUCAUGCAGGGCCAGGAUGUGACCCAGUAGGAAAGUACAUGCCUUAUACGCAUGAGACC
This is a long non-coding RNA of Suncus etruscus (white-toothed pygmy shrew), 1215 nucleotides long. RefSeq lists it as uncharacterized. The transcript has 4 exons. The record is from RefSeq and is a predicted model, not a curated record. Lineage: Eukaryota; Metazoa; Chordata; Mammalia; Eulipotyphla; Soricidae.